Molecule: transfer RNA, 104 nt
Organism: Rhizopogon vinicolor AM-OR11-026
Lineage: Eukaryota; Fungi; Basidiomycota; Agaricomycetes; Boletales; Rhizopogonaceae
Rfam family: tRNA
About the family: Transfer RNA (tRNA) molecules are approximately 80 nucleotides in length.
Source: Rfam
GCCCUGAUGGCUCAGUUGGUUAGAGCGCAGGUCUCAUACUCUCGUAUGACUGGUUGUACUACCGGGCAAUCCUGAGGUCGCAAGUUCGAACCUUGCUCAGGGCA